This 253-nucleotide ribosomal RNA is filed under the name uncultured bacterium. Its description in RNAcentral is "partial 16S ribosomal RNA". It matches the Rfam family "Bacterial small subunit ribosomal RNA", at positions 524 to 776 of the family's 1533-position model. The record is from RNAcentral.
UACGUAGGUGGCAAGCGUUGUCCGGAAUGACUGGGCGUAAAGGGUGCGUAGGUGGUGAUGCAAGUUAGCAGCGAAAUUCCGGGGCUUAACUCCGGCGCUACUGCUAAGACUGUAUUGCUUGAGUGCAGGAGGGGUAAGUGGAAUUCCUAGUGUAGCGGUGGAAUGCGUAGAUAUUAGGAAGAACACCGGUGGCGAAGGCGACUUACUGGACUGUAACUGACACUGAGGCACGAAAGCGUGGGGAGCAAACAGG